GGGCCCGCACAAGCAGUGGAGCAUGUGGUUUAAUUCGAUGCAACGCGAAGAACCUUACCAGGCCUUGACAUCCAGAGAACUUUUCAGAGAUGGAUUGGUGCCUUCGGGAACUCUGAGACAGGUGCUGCAUGGCUGUCGUCAGCUCGUGUUGUGAAAUGUUGGGUUAAGUCCCGCAACGAGCGCAACCCUUAUCCUUGUUUGCCAGCGAGUAAUGUCGGGAACUCCAGGGAGACUGCCGGUGAUAAACCGGAGGAAGGUGGGGACGACGUCAAGUCAUCAUGGCCCUUACGAGUAGGGCUACACACGUGCUACAAUGGCGCAUACAGAGGGCAGCCAACUUGCGAGAGUGAGCGAAUCCCAAAAAGUGCGUCGUAGUCCGGAUCGGAGUCUGCAACUCGACUCCGUGAAGUCGGAAUCGCUAGUAAUCG
This 428-nucleotide ribosomal RNA is filed under the name uncultured bacterium. RNAcentral's name for it is "bacterial SSU rRNA". It matches the Rfam family "Bacterial small subunit ribosomal RNA", at positions 917 to 1344 of the family's 1533-position model. The record is from RNAcentral.